AUGCCCGGUGCUCUGCUUCUCUCUGCAAGCGGCUCCAACGGCCAGCGCCGGGCCAGGCAGAAGCCAGGAGGCUUGACCUCCAUUCAGGGCGCCCAGGAGGCCGGGAGGCGUGGUCCCUGGGUCACAGGCUGGAGAGGCCGCCCCGCCUGCAGCCCUGGGGCUUCGGAGGCUGGACGCGGCAGGCAGCGCGGAGGUGCGUCCCGCGGCGCCACGGCGGCCGCCCAUGGGGAGUGCGCCUGCGCCCGGCGCUGUGACCCGGAAGUGGCCCCUUGUGCCCCGGAAGUGGCCCCUUGUGGCCCGCGGCGCUCAGGUAGGAGUCCUCGCGGGUCCCGUCCGCUGCUGCCGGAGAGCCCGCGCGAGCCGUCGGGAGCCGUCCUGGACGCUGCCGGCGGAGCCUGCGGGAGACCCAGCGCCCCCGGGGUCAGGCCGGGCUCAGAGAGGCUGCGGCCCGAGGCUGCCGCGCCGUUUCCCGGGCGCGGUUCUCUUCUUCGGCCCCUCGUGGAAGCAGCGGCCUUCGCGGGCCUCUGUGCCGCCAGCAGACCGGGCCCCCUUGGCGCAUCCAGCGUCGUGGAGUUCUUUGUUGGAACAUGUGCUGAGCACUGGCGCCAAGCCUUCGAACAAGGAGGUGAGCAGCCAAGAGCAACACCUGCAGGAAGGGCCGGGCUGCUGGUGUCGGAGGAGUGGCAGUAGGUUCAACAGGACCCUCAGACUGGCAGAGGACAGUGCAGCAGCCAACACACAAAACUACAAUUUGCACAUGGCUAAAGUCCGUGGUUAUCUUACAGCAUCCUGGGCACUUGACAUCCGUGAAGUGGGAAUUGGGUCUCUGCAGCAGGUGCUGCUUCUUGCAUUUCCUGUUCAUUUCUGUAGAGAGAUGGAGGAGCUCCUUUGCUUGAGCAAAUGCACAUCCAUUCAUCAAAAAUGA
RNAcentral lists this long non-coding RNA (925 nucleotides) under Oryctolagus cuniculus (rabbit). RNAcentral describes it as "lncRNA (ENSOCUG00000038929.1)". Lineage: Eukaryota; Metazoa; Chordata; Mammalia; Lagomorpha; Leporidae. The record is from RNAcentral.